RNAcentral lists this ribosomal RNA (497 nucleotides) under uncultured bacterium. RNAcentral's name for it is "partial 16S ribosomal RNA". It matches the Rfam family "Bacterial small subunit ribosomal RNA", at positions 28 to 507 of the family's 1533-position model. The record is from RNAcentral.
GAUGAACGCUGGCGGCGUGCCUAAUACAUGCAAGUCGAGCGAACGGACGAGAAUCUUGCUUCUCUGAUGUUAUCGGCGGACGGGUCAGUAACACGUGGAUAACCUACCUCUAAGACUGUGAUAACUUCGGGAAACCGUAGCUAAUACCGGAUAAUAUUUUGAACUGCAUGGUUCAAAAGUGAAAGACGGUCUUGCUGUCACUUAUAGAUUGAUCCGCGCUGCAUUAGCUAGUUGGUAAGGUAACGGCUUACCAAGGCAACGAUGCAUAACCGACCUGAGAGGGUGAUCGAGCAGACGGGCGGUGAGAAACGGUCCAGACACCUACGGGAGGCAGCAGUAGGGAAUCUUACGCAAUGGGCGAAAGCCGGACGGAGCAAAGCCGCGGGAGUGAUGAAGGUCUUAGGAUCGUAAAACGAUGUUAUUAGGGAAGAAGAAAUGUGUAAGUAACUGGGAAGAUAUUGACGGUACCUAAUCAGAAAGCCACGGCUAACUACGUG